AAUGGACUGCCCUUCGCGUAGAAAUCCGCAUGUCUUCCGGGCCAACACUACUUAUUAGGGAACUGUCACUGGCAGGAUCGUGGUCCUGUUAUAUGGUGCCCACCUUAUCUUGCGGGUAUCGGAUAGAAUGAACUGAUUUACGGUCUGGGCGGUCCGCCU
Molecule: non-coding RNA, 159 nt
Filed under: Acetobacter sp.
Lineage: Bacteria; Pseudomonadati; Pseudomonadota; Alphaproteobacteria; Acetobacterales; Acetobacteraceae
Also listed under: 2 other names
Description: 6S RNA
Rfam family: 6S / SsrS RNA
About the family: E. coli 6S RNA was the first non coding RNA to be sequenced, but its function was unknown until recently. It consists of 184 nucleotides that fold into an extended hairpin structure with a large single-stranded internal bulge.
Source: RNAcentral